GAGCUGCUCCCACUCCUCCCUCGGCCCCCGCCCCCGUACCGGCUGGUGGACGCCAUCUCGCCGGUGCCGCAGCGGUGCCGGAGACGGUUCGGGGGAACGUCCCGGUUAUUAAAUACCGGCAGCGGCGGGCGGGGCCGCCGGGCGCUCCUACGGGUCCCGCGAGGGGGCGGGCGGAAGGACAGAGGGCCCCGCCCUCGCCGGGGCCGGCCCAGCGGGUGUUGGGCGGCUGCGGGCCCCGGGUCAGGCCGGGGAGCCUGACCGCGGGCUGCGCCCCCCGAACCGAGGGCGGCUUCGAGACAAAAUCUCGUUGUAAUAAAUCAGAGGAUGCGGCGUGCCCUGGGGCCGUCAUUUAAAGGGUCUGCCCUGGGUUGGAACCUUGCCCUGGGGCCAGGCCCACGAGGAGCGGCCCCGGGCUGCCCGCAGACCCCCUGCACAAAGCCCGCCGUGCUGCCCCCCGGGGCGUGACUCCGGGUCAGCUGUUCUGUGCGAACUCCAGCAGUUUAGUGAAAUGCCGCAGAAAACAAGGGAAAUUGCUAAGAUUGUCAGUUUUAUGCAAGUGAAAAAAGAAAGAAUCUGCAAGACUGAUUUUUUUUUAAUGUCUGUGAGGCCAACAGCUUUCCUACACCAGAAAACAACCUCCUCUGCCCCAUCAAUACAUACCUGUAAUGGAGUUGGGCAAGUAUACAGUGUAUUUUGGUGAACAACUUGCAAAUGCCUUAUCAGGUUUUCAGGGCCAAUGGACCAUCCAAGCUAAGGGAGGAAAGCAAGCAUAAUAAAAUUAAAAAAUAAUGAAAAUUA
Long non-coding RNA from Pipra filicauda (Wire-tailed manakin), 798 nucleotides. RefSeq lists it as uncharacterized. The record is from RefSeq and is a predicted model, not a curated record. The transcript has 3 exons. Lineage: Eukaryota; Metazoa; Chordata; Aves; Passeriformes; Pipridae.